This 223-nucleotide ribosomal RNA is filed under the name uncultured bacterium. Its description in RNAcentral is "partial 16S ribosomal RNA". It matches the Rfam family "Bacterial small subunit ribosomal RNA", at positions 524 to 746 of the family's 1533-position model. The record is from RNAcentral.
UACGUAGGCAGCAAGCGUUGUUCGGAAUUACUGGGCGUAAAGCGUGUGUAGGCGGUCUGUCAAGUCCGUUGUGAAAUCUCCCGGCUCAACUGGGAGGGUGCGCCGGAAACUGACAGGCUAGAGUGCGGUAGGGGAGAGUGGAAUUCCUGGUGUAGCGGUGAAAUGCAUAGAUAUCAGGAGGAACACCGAUGGUGAAGACGGCUCUCUGGACCGCUACUGACGC